RNAcentral lists this long non-coding RNA (1060 nucleotides) under Athene cunicularia (burrowing owl). Its description in RNAcentral is "lncRNA (ENSACUG00000003602.1)". Lineage: Eukaryota; Metazoa; Chordata; Aves; Strigiformes; Strigidae. The record is from RNAcentral.
CGAGGGGCGCCCCGUGGAGGAAGGUCCUGUGCGUGGCUGUGGGGAUGCUCAGGAGAAGACUGCUUCAAAUACCCUUUGGCCACAGCCAGCUCGGAGCACUCGAUAUCCAGCACAAUGUUGGCGCUGCCCGGGCCCUGUGGGGAUCCUGCACAGCCCGGGAAGGGCACCCGCUUGGCAGGGUCCUGCCUGGGCUCCACCAUGCCCUUGGACUGCUGCAGGUACCCGCGGAACUCCGCGGCUUGCUGGCCGUCCUGGCUGGCAGCAGCGGGGAGGCCGAGCUCCCCUCCACAGGGCUGCCCGGCCGCCAUGGGGCUGGUGGUCCAGCUGCCGGAGGAGCCCGUGGGGCCAGGGCAGGCGUUCUCCAAGCCCACGCCGCUGUCGUCGCCAGUGGGGAGCUGCCGCUUGUAGCCCUGGGGCUGGGGGCCGGAGGAGCAGCUCAGGUCGGAGGAGGAGGUGUGCAGGCAGAUGCCGCUGUCGGUGCUGGUGCAGCUGCUGUCCCUGCUCCACACAGCCCCAGGCCCCAGCAGGCACAGCUGGUCCUCGGGCCACGCUGGGACCCUCCAGCCCUUCUCCGGGGGCAGCUGGGCUGUGCCGGUGCUGCCAUGCGGGCCACUGUCCCGCUGGGGCUCCUUCUGGCACAGGAACAGUUGCUGGAUGGGGUCUGUGUCCGGGCUGCCCGAGGACGAGGACUCCUGCUCCAUCCAGAGCGAGCUCUGCUUUAUGAAAGACUUCUGGGAGGGAGAGAAAAGAGGGGAGUGAGCCAUGCUCUGUCCCUGCUCAUUGCCUGCCUCUCCCAACAGGUGCCCAAGCCUGCACCCUCGCAUGGGCCGCAAAGGGCACCGCGUGCCUGGCGGCCUUACCAGGACGGAUGGCGGCCUCACGGGUUUCUUGACGUAGGUGCACACCAGCAUUGCUCCCAGGAGGCCCAAGAGCAACAGGGUGACGAAGGAGGAGCUGACGAUGCUCAGGACAAGCUCCGCGCUCCCUGCGAGAGAGGAACAUUCCCAGGUGAGAGGGGAAAGGCAGAGUCCCCAGUGCACAUGGCACAGAGGCCCUGCAG